RNAcentral lists this ribosomal RNA (497 nucleotides) under uncultured bacterium. RNAcentral describes it as "partial 16S ribosomal RNA". It matches the Rfam family "Bacterial small subunit ribosomal RNA", at positions 38 to 507 of the family's 1533-position model. The record is from RNAcentral.
GAGGAAAGAGGGAGGCGGGAAGAAUAAAGGAAAGUAGAGCGAAAGGAGGAGAAGCUUGAUUAUGUGAUGUUAGCGGUGGAAGGGUGAGUAAAACGUGGAUAAUAUAACUAUAAGACUGGGAUAACUUCGGGAAACCGGAGCUAAUACCGGAUAAUAUUUUGAACCGCAUGGUUCAAAAGUGAAAGACGGUCUUGCUGUCACUUAUAGAUGGAUCCGCGCUGCAUUAGCUAGUUGGUAAGGUAACGGCUUACCAAGGCAACGAUGCAUAGCCGACCUGAGAGGGUGAUCGGCCACACUGGAACUGAGACACGGUCCAGACUCCUACGGGAGGCAGCAGUAGGGAAUCUUCCGCAAUGGGCGAAAGCCUGACGGAGCAACGCCGCGUGAGUGAUGAAGGUCUUCGGAUCGUAAAACUCUGUUAUUAGGGAAGAACAUAUGUGUAAGUAACUGUGCACAUCUUGACGGUACCUAAUCAGAAAGCCACGGCUAACUACGUA